UCCGUAGGCGGGCAAUUAAGUCAGAGGUGAAAUCCCACAGCUCAACUGUGGAACUGCAUUUGAUACUGGUUGUCUUGAGUUAUAGUGAAGUAGAUAGAAUAUGUAGUGUAGCGGUGAAAUGCAUAGAUAUUACAUAGAAUACCGAUUGCGAAGGCAGUCUACUAACUGUAUACUGACGCUAAUGGACGAAAGCGUGGGGAGCGAACAGGAUUAGAUACCCUGGUAGUCC
Molecule: ribosomal RNA, 229 nt
Filed under: uncultured bacterium
Lineage: Bacteria
Description: partial 16S ribosomal RNA
Rfam family: Bacterial small subunit ribosomal RNA
Source: RNAcentral